RNAcentral lists this ribosomal RNA (594 nucleotides) under Escherichia coli. Its description in RNAcentral is "partial 23S ribosomal RNA". It matches the Rfam family "Bacterial large subunit ribosomal RNA", at positions 933 to 1529 of the family's 2925-position model. The record is from RNAcentral. Lineage: Bacteria; Pseudomonadati; Pseudomonadota; Gammaproteobacteria; Enterobacterales; Enterobacteriaceae.
GACUUACCAACCCGAUGCAAACUGCGAAUACCGGAGAAUGUUAUCACGGGAGACACACGGCGGGUGCUAACGUCCGUCGUGAAGAGGGAAACAACCCAGACCGCCAGCUAAGGUCCCAAAGUCAUGGUUAAGUGGGAAACGAUGUGGGAAGGCCCAGACAGCCAGGAUGUUGGCUUAGAAGCAGCCAUCAUUUAAAGAAAGCGUAAUAGCUCACUGGUCGAGUCGGCCUGCGCGGAAGAUGUAACGGGGCUAAACCAUGCACCGAAGCUGCGGCAGCGACGCUGAUGCGUUGUUGGGUAGGGGAGCGUUCUGUAAGCCUGCGAAGGUGUGCUGUGAGGCAUGCUGGAGGUAUCAGAAGUGCGAAUGCUGACAUAAGUAACGAUAAAGCGGGUGAAAAGCCCGCUCGCCGGAAGACCAAGGGUUCCUGUCCAACGUUAAUCGGGGCAGGGUGAGUCGACCCCUAAGGCGAGGCCGAAAGGCGUAGUCGAUGGGAAACAGGUUAAUAUUCCUGUACUUGGUGUUACUGCGAAGGGGGGACGGAGAAGGCUAUGUUGGCCGGGCGACGGUUGUCCCGGUUUAAGCGUGUAGGCUGGU